GAGCGCUGGACAGAAUGGUGCACAGAAUCCUCCUACAAUACCAACAAAAAGGACAAUAAGGAUCCUAUCUAACACAGUCAGCUGGAUACUGACAGUUCAAAAACAACAAAAAAAGUGUGAAGUGACAUAAAACAAGAACAGCUGCACGCUCUGAACCUUCAGCCAACAGUCAAGUACAAGUGACUUGACCCUUGCAGGAUUCUCAUGGGCAGAGGAAAAAUGUAGCAGUGAAGACAGACAUGACUAACAAUGCUGAGAGUUUUGCCAGACUUCAAGCAAUACUACUGGAACUUACUUCAGUCUUCAAACAGAGAUACAUCACAGAACUUCUCAGAUGGAAAAUACAGCACCGUCUGUAAACUGAGACUAGCAGAAAAGAGCAUCCUUUACAGGAAUACUCAAGGACAUUAAGAGAUUAAACCACAUAACAGAACUAUCAAGAACUUAACAUCAAAAUGUUAUUGCAUCACUCAAACACAUGGGCCUUUCCCCUCACGAAGAUAAUCCUGGUAUUGGGUUCUGAAGCAUCCUACACAAACUUCAUCCCAAGAGGUCAGUAGCCACAGGACAGAGCUAGAAAAUUGUUUUCAACAGUGAUAUAGUUCCAACAGGCUCUGUUAGAACAACCUCGUUUAGAACUAGUUUGCUAUCUAACCUGCUCCACAUAAAGCAACUUACAGUUUUGUUCCAAUACUUGCAUUUUAGUAUGAUUUCUGAUGAGCAUUCCUUAAGCUUCAGUUUUUACUAAAAAAAAUAUAUACUGACAGUAACUUACAACACAAAAUUUGCACUGGAAUUUCUCCAGUAAAGUUGCUUGGUUAGGAAAAAAGGAUUUAACUCUGGCAAAAAGCAACACUCCUAAAAAGGACUCAAAAGGCACAUCUCUUAAGUCUUUAGAAACUGGCAGGUUUCUACUUUCCUUACCAUAUCAGAUUUUGGGUUGUUUUGUGCCACCAGUCUAACAGUACUAAGGUAGAUACUAACAAUUAAGAAAAGCUCUCUCAAUAACUGCUACAGAAUCUGCCAAACACUCCGUUUUGUCUGACACUGAAUUCAGGUUCCUGCCUGGACAAAGUUCAAUGCUGUUGGGGCACUAACAGCUGGGUGACACAGGCUGCAGAUCCUAGGCCAGAGUAGUGCCUACCCAAGGCACUGAGAACAUUUAGUAACUCAACACAGUUUCUUGUAUGAAAGAUCCUGAAAAGUGCUAGAAACAGUCAGUGACUGUCCUUGUUGAUAGACGGAAGUAUAAACAUCAUCUGUUCUCUUCCAGGGGCCUGAAUC
Molecule: long non-coding RNA, 1284 nt
Organism: Aquila chrysaetos chrysaetos
Lineage: Eukaryota; Metazoa; Chordata; Aves; Accipitriformes; Accipitridae
Exons: 4
Source: RefSeq, a predicted model, not a curated record